RNAcentral lists this ribosomal RNA (421 nucleotides) under uncultured bacterium. RNAcentral's name for it is "bacterial SSU rRNA". It matches the Rfam family "Bacterial small subunit ribosomal RNA", at positions 355 to 774 of the family's 1533-position model. The record is from RNAcentral.
UAAGGAAUAUUGGUCAAUGGACGCAAGUCUGAACCAGCCAUGCCGCGUGAAGGAUGAAGGUCCUCUGGAUUGUAAACUUCUUUUAUCUGGGACGAAAACGGGAUUUUUAUCUCAAUUGACGGUACCAGAGGAAUAAGCACCGGCUAACUCCGUGCCAGCAGCCGCGGUAAUACGGAGGGUGCGAGCGUUAUCCGGAUUUACUGGGUUUAAAGGGUGCGUAGGUGGGCUUAUAAGUCAGUGGUGAAAUCUCCGAGCUUAACUUGGAAACUGCCGUUGAUACUAUAGGUCUUGAAUUAUCUGGAGGUAAGCGGAAUAUGUCAUGUAGCGGUGAAAUGCUUGGAUAUGACAUAGAACACCAAUUGCGAAGGCAGCUUACUACAUAUAAAUUGACGCUGAGGCACGAAAGCGUGGGGAUCAAACA